UGCCCAAGGACACACAGCUGGUGGCUAGGCCAGACCCUGGAUCUGUAAGAAAAAGUAGCCCAUGAUCACAUCAACACCUCCCACAGUUCUCAAGGUCGGGCAAAGUUAUGGGAGUGGCGGUAAUGAGGAUGAUGUCAGGGCACAGCUGGAGGAGCCUCAUGUGAUGGCAAUCGCUUCUCAUCAGCCCCGAUGAGGCCAGAGGACAGAAAGUGGAAAGAGGAAUGACUAAAACUGGAUGAUAAAUUUGAAAAUCUCAUCACAGUUUAAUGAGCUGCCCGUUUUUAAUGCCCUCCUCUGUUACACAUUACAUUCUGCACAAGGUGAGAUUCAGUCGCACACAUAACAACAUCAGUUCAGGAAAAUGUUUAGAAGACGGAGCAUCAGGAUGAGUGAGCAGAACGCAGGAGCUGGGACGGGCAAUUGUGUGCCAGUGAUGCGUUAAAUGGGGGGACACGUCCUGGUGGGCUCCCUCCCUCCCAGCGUGCUCAAGAGAAUUCAUGUUAUCAGGAUGAGCUGAACAUCCCAGCUAAAUAUCCUACAGUAACUCACUUUCGUAUUAGAAAACUCCAUUCCCAGCAGUGAAAGAGAGUCACCAGUGAGAAGCAUUUCUGACUUCAUUCUGCUUACAUGGGUUAUUUAUUUACCCCAAUUGACUCUAUCCUGGGAUAGAACUCCAAAUUAAUUGGGCCUUUUAAGCAUCAUUCUUCUUUCAAAGGCAAAAGUGCAAAGGAGAUUUUACACAUUUGGCCUCAUUCUGUGUUGACUGGAGGUUGAUGCUGCCUGUUGCUUAUACAUAAAUGUUCUCUAGGUCAAGAUUAUCACGCUAAAGGCAACACACCUAAUUUGAUGCCACUCAAUGCAAUCAGGGGUGCACCUGUCUGCUGUUACAUUGAUUGGAAUUUGGCUUGCUUUUUAUUGUACUUCAUAUUUAUUUAUUUGCUUUUUGAGAUUGUUCCCAGUAGGAAUGGGACCUUCCUGAGCCUACAGUAAGCUAAAAUGCAAUGUCGCCAUUCACAGAGACCUGAAUGAAUACAGUCAGAAAAGAUGUCUCCUCCGUGGGUCCACAACUCUCUGGAUCUUCUCCAAGUUGUUGUGAAGAGAAGGUGAUAGGAUUCAGGAAUGGAAGAUCUCUGUGACCAUCAGCACUCUGAACUUCUCCUUCCCACUUCAGAGCAUUCACUGAUGAUAGGAGGUGCACCUGGACAAAGAUGAGCUCAGAUGUCCCCCACCUGGACACUCCUUCUAGGGUCAAGGAGCGUAAAAGUCCUACAGUAUAAUCACAAGGUUAAAACUAAUCCCUAAGGAUAUUCUCAGCAAUUACACCUUUAUAAUGUCAAUAGUCCACUCUGAACAAGUUAAACCUUCCUGCCCAUUAAUUUUCAAGAGGCCUAAGAAAUCAGGUGUAUGUCUGUUUUCGUUCCAUUUUGCUCUGUGCUAUCUCAAGCCUCUGCUUCAUCUAGGUGGAAUUCAAAAGGAGAAAAUGAACAGAAAGGCAAACAAUGCUCCUUAGAGUCUUCCAGAAACUGUAGACUGAAACUCUAUGUUCUAUUAACCUGGUUUGAAUGGAUUGGGGAUUUAUUUUUUUUUCAUAGAAAAGAAGUAAAAGGGAAAUCUGCUAUUAUAUCAGAAAUACAUUGCUCUCUCAGCCCUUUUCAUGUCUUUGUGAUGAUCAGAUUUUUCUAAUCUUUUCAGCAGUGUUCUUAAUAUAUUACAGAAUAAAUCCAGCAAUGGAAAGUUUAAAUUUAAAAGCUGACACUAGGAAAGCUAAGCAUUCACAAGACAGGUUACAAUGAAACUGCCUUGCUGCAAAC
Molecule: long non-coding RNA, 1811 nt
Filed under: Equus caballus (horse)
Lineage: Eukaryota; Metazoa; Chordata; Mammalia; Perissodactyla; Equidae
Description: lncRNA (ENSECAG00000053876.1)
Source: RNAcentral